This 204-nucleotide ribosomal RNA is filed under the name uncultured bacterium. Its description in RNAcentral is "partial 16S ribosomal RNA". It matches the Rfam family "Bacterial small subunit ribosomal RNA", at positions 32 to 229 of the family's 1533-position model. The record is from RNAcentral.
GGACGAAACGCUGGCGGCGUGCUUAACACAUGCAAGUCGAGCGGUAAGGCCCUUUCGGGGGGUACACGAGCGGCGAAACGGGUGAGUAACACGUGGGUGACCUGCCUCUAGCUCUGGGAUAAGCCUGGGAAACUGGGUCUAAUACUGGAUAUGACUCCACGGUGCAUGUCGUGGGGUGGAAAGCCUUGUGCGGCUGAGGAUGGG